UACGUAGGUGGCAAGCGUUGUCCGGAAUUAUUGGGCGUAAAGGGCUCGCAGGCGGUUUCUUAAGUCUGAUGUGAAAGCCCCCGGCUCAACCGGGGAGGUCAUUGGAAACUGGGAAACUUGAGUGCAGAAGAGGAGAGUGGAAUUCCACGGUGUAGCGGAUGAAAUGCGUAGAGAUGUGGAGGAACACCAGUGGCGAAGGCGACUCUCUGGUCUGUAACUGACGCUGAGGAGCGAAAGCGUGGGGAGCGAACAGG
Molecule: ribosomal RNA, 254 nt
Filed under: uncultured bacterium
Lineage: Bacteria
Description: partial 16S ribosomal RNA
Rfam family: Bacterial small subunit ribosomal RNA
Source: RNAcentral